CCUACGGGUGGCAGCAGUGAGGAAUAUUGGUCAAUGGACGAGAGUCUGAACCAGCCAAGUAGCGUGAAGGAUGACUGCCCUAUGGGUUGUAAACUUCUUUUAUAUGGGAAUAAAAUGUUCCACGUGUGGGAUUUUGUAUGUACCAUAUGAAUAAGGAUCGGCUAACUCCGUGCCAGCAGCCGCGGUAAUACGGAGGAUCCGAGCGUUAUCCGGAUUUAUUGGGUUUAAAGGGAGCGUAGGUGGAUUGUUAAGUCAGUUGUGAAAGUUUGCGGCUCAACCGUAAAAUUGCAGUUGAAACUGGCAGUCUUGAGUACAGUAGAGGUGGGCGGAAUUCGUGGUGUAGCGGUGAAAUGCUUAGAUAUCGCGAAGAACUCCGAUUGCGAAGGCAGUUCACUGGACUGCAACUGACACUGAGGCUCGAAAGUGUGGGUAUCAAACAGGAUUAGAUACCCGAGUAGUC
This 460-nucleotide ribosomal RNA is filed under the name uncultured bacterium. RNAcentral describes it as "partial 16S ribosomal RNA". It matches the Rfam family "Bacterial small subunit ribosomal RNA", at positions 338 to 795 of the family's 1533-position model. The record is from RNAcentral.